This 429-nucleotide ribosomal RNA is filed under the name uncultured Kaistia sp. RNAcentral's name for it is "bacterial SSU rRNA". It matches the Rfam family "Bacterial small subunit ribosomal RNA", at positions 29 to 505 of the family's 1533-position model. The record is from RNAcentral. Lineage: Bacteria; Pseudomonadati; Pseudomonadota; Alphaproteobacteria; Hyphomicrobiales; Kaistiaceae.
AACGAACGCUGGCGGCAGGCCUAACACAUGCAAGUCGAACGCCCCGCAAGGGGAGUGGCAGACGGGUGAGUAACACGUGGGAACCUACCUUGAGGUACGGAACAACCAAGGGAAACUUUGGCUAAUACCGUAUGAGCCCGAGAGGGGAAAGAUUUAUCGCCUUGAGAUGGGCCCGCGUCGGAUUAGCUAGUUGGUGUGGUAAUGGCGCACCAAGGCGACGAUCCGUAGCUGGUCUGAGAGGAUGACCAGCCACACUGGGACUGAGACACGGCCCAGACUCCUACGGGAGGCAGCAGUGGGGAAUAUUGGACAAUGGGCGCAAGCCUGAUCCAGCCAUGCCGCGUGUGUGAUGAAGGCCUUAGGGUUGUAAAGCACUUUCGCCGAUGAAGAUAAUGACGGUAGUCGGAGAAGAAGCCCCGGCUAACUUCG